This is a long non-coding RNA of Gambusia affinis (western mosquitofish), 1960 nucleotides long. RefSeq lists it as uncharacterized. The transcript is spliced from 3 exons. Lineage: Eukaryota; Metazoa; Chordata; Actinopteri; Cyprinodontiformes; Poeciliidae. The record is from RefSeq and is a predicted model, not a curated record.
GACUCGUAAUGCACGCAGAAGCAAAAAGUAUUGUAAAGACGCUGACGUGUUUCAGUGUGUUUACCACUCACGUCUGCCUGAACAAUGUCGGGAGGAUAAAUACGGGAAGUAAAAAAAAAAGUAUCCAACGUGGUGCAUGUGUUAUCAGACAGAAUGGAUCACGACAUUCCUGAUUAUAUGACCUGCCAAAAUCCUCUGGUCUGUAAUGCUCUUUCUUUCUAACAGCGAUUUCUUAUUAGCUCUCGCAUUAAAUAAAACUAUACAGAAUGAAAAAUGUUAGCUAUACUAAGAAAAUAAAAAUCAGAGUAGUUACUUCUGGCCAAUAUAAUUACAUGGGAAAUAUUUAUUGGCUCAGAAGCUGUCGUUUGGCCACAAAGUCAAGAAAUUCUGUUCAUAAAAUUGUGUUCUUUCUUUCUUACCUGUGAAAGGUAAUGCUAAUGGAGCCAGCUUGUACUAUAAAAUGAGUGAAAAAACUCCACACAAGUUCCCCACUGACAUUUGCUAUUUUUACUAAUUCUUUUCUAAACAUUUUCUAUGAAACGGCAACACUUUGUUAGAGGUUCCGUUUCCCCUAGGAAAGGGCAUGAACUUGUGACAAUUUAAUCUGUUACUCUUUUUGCUUUAUUAUGUUUUCCAUGAAAUGUUUAAUUUAUUUAAAUUCUUAUGUGUUUAGCUUUGUCAUUUUCUUUUAUGUUUUCUUUUAUCUUAUCGCUGAUGUUUAGCACUUUAUUUCAGCUCUGGCUGCUGUUAAAGUGCUUUAUAAAUAAAGUCGAUAAUGAUCAUGAACAAAAACAGGUUAGUCGGUCCAGUAGCUGAGAAGUUUGAAUGCUGAACAUACAGCCACAGUCUGUUUCCCCUGACCUACACACUGGAAGUGGGGAUCUAUUAACACUAAGUAAUAGGAAGUGAUACUUGGCAUAACAUGACUGGCUUGUUUUUUUUCCUAGGGUCAGUUGAGAAUGAAAAGACAGGGAGGCAGGAUAGACAGCUUCUUUAUAAAAAGAAGCAAAUCAGGCACAGAUCAAACAGGGUUCAGCUCUGACAUCAGCAGUCCUGGUAGCUCAUGUCCUGAGAACAGUCACGAGAAAGAAAGUCUGGCAAACACCAAUCCACCAUCACCAGUUCCAUCAAAGGAGGAGUCUGAAAACACAGAAAGCUCUCGCCUGACCAGGAUGAUGAUGAGCCAGAAGGGGCAAUUGCAGGAGAUACCACUGAUCUCUUCUCAGCAGUGUCCAGCACUCCUUUUGCUUUUCCAAAAGGACCCAGUGAUAUUUCAAAGUCAAAAGAACAGGGCCCUGUUCAGCCAAGUUUGACAAACUUCCCCAGAACUCAGCAUGGAACAAGAAAGAGAACUUUUCACAGCUCCUGGUACAAAGACUAUUCUUGGUGAUGCCAGGCUAAGUCACAUUGGAACACUUAGCAUAGAGUCAAGGAGGGCACGGGGCCUCAACAUGGAUGACUUUGUAACAUAUUUUGCUUCAUCUCACAACAACCGAAGGAUUUUACUUUUAUGAGUGCAUGAAGAAGUCUUGUGUUUCUCGUCAUGAUUUGGGUCUUCACCGACUGGUACUUGUACCAAUGAUAGUUUAGGAGUCAGUACAUUUGGUCAUAGCUGCAUUAAGUUCGAAAAUAAAAUGCACAUGUAGCAUCUAUUAAAUAACAGUUUCCAUAACAUACAACCUUCUUUUUGAGAUAUUGUAAUUGUGAACUGUGUGACACUGCAUUCUCAUUGUAAGUCUUGUCUUGUUACAAUGGUGUCAUUUAGAGGUUAAUGUCCACUUAUGCUUUGUGUGGCAUGCAUUGAUAAUAAACUGCAAAUUACAUGAGCAAAUCUCAUUUCAUGAGUCUUUAUUUAUAUAUAGUAUGUGAAUGAAAGUACUUUUACUGUAUUGUCAUUGUCAUAGUCAGUGGACCCCUUACAGAUAGCCCUGGCCCCCCAUUGGCCCCCCCAGAAAUAAAA